Exaiptasia diaphana is the source of this 78-nucleotide small nucleolar RNA. RefSeq annotates it as small nucleolar RNA SNORD24. NCBI's taxonomy places the organism in Eukaryota, Metazoa, Cnidaria, Anthozoa, Actiniaria, Aiptasiidae. The transcript has a single exon. The record is from RefSeq and is a predicted model, not a curated record.
UAUUGAUGAUGAUAUCUUUCAAUUUGCUGUUUGAUAUCCAAUGAUAACAUUAGCAAUACCACCAAGAUCUCUGAGAUA